Molecule: ribosomal RNA, 374 nt
Filed under: uncultured bacterium
Lineage: Bacteria
Description: bacterial SSU rRNA
Rfam family: Bacterial small subunit ribosomal RNA
Source: RNAcentral
UACGGAGGGGGCAAGCGUUGUUCGGAGUUACUGGGCGUAAAGCGCAUGUAGGUGGAUGUAUAAGUCAGGAGUCAAAGGCGUCGGCUCAACCGGCGUACGGCUUUUGAAACUAUAUGUCUAGAGUGUCGGAGAGGAAUAUGGAAUUCCCAGUGUAGCGGUGAAAUGCGUAGAUAUUGGGAGGAACACCAGUAGCGAAGGCGAUAUUCUGGCCGAUAACUGACACUGAGAUGCGAGAGCAUGGGUAGCAAACAGGAUUAGAUACCCUGGUAGUCCAUGCUGUAAACGAUGGACGCUAGGUGUUGGGGUUUUAAAGCCUCAGUGCCGAAGCAAACGCGUUAAGCGUCCCGCCUGGGGAGUACGACCGCAAGGUUGAA